AACGCUAGCUACAGGCUUAACACAUGCAAGUCGAGGGGUAGCAGGGUAGCAAUACCGCUGACGACCGGCGCACGGGUGAGUAACACGUAUCCAACCUACCGUUUACUCGGGGAUAGCCUUUCGAAAGAAAGAUUAAUACCCGAUAGUAUAAAGAGUUCGCAUGUUCUCUUUAUUAAAGGAUUCCGGUAAAUGAUGGGGAUGCGUUCCAUUAGAUUGUUGGCGGGGUAACGGCCCACCAAGUCUUCGAUGGAUAGGGGUUCUGAGAGGAAGGUCCCCCACAUUGGAACUGAGACACGGUCCAAACUCCUACGGGAGGCAGCAGUGAGGAAUAUUGGUCAAUGGGCGAGAGCCUGAACCAGCCAAGUAGCGUGCAGGAUGACGGCCCUAUGGGUUGUAAACUGCUUUUAUAAGGGAAUAAAGUUAGUCUCGUGAGACUUUUUGCAUGUACCUUAUGAAUAAGGACCGGCUAAUUCCGUGCCAGCAGCCGCGGUAAUAUGGAAGGUCCGGGCGUUAUCCGGAUUUAUUGGGUUUAAAGGGAGCGUAGGCCGGAGAUUAAGCGUGUUGUGAAAUGUAGACGCUCAACGUCUGCACUGCAGCGCGAACUGGUUUCCUUGAGUACGCACAAAGUGGGCGGAAUUCGUGGUGUAGCGGUGAAAUGCUUAGAUAUCACGAAGAACUCCGAUUG
RNAcentral lists this ribosomal RNA (685 nucleotides) under uncultured bacterium. RNAcentral describes it as "bacterial SSU rRNA". It matches the Rfam family "Bacterial small subunit ribosomal RNA", at positions 32 to 715 of the family's 1533-position model. The record is from RNAcentral.